AUGGUGAAACGCAAUGACAAUGGCCGAUGCUAUGAAUGUAUGAAUUAUGGAAAUGUUGAUUUGAAGCACCCUGUCAAUGGUGAUAAAUAUAAAGGUCGCCACUCUCACCCACACAAAGUAGGGUACGGUUUGGUCGAUCGAGGGGUACCUGAAUACAUCCAGAAUGAGGAGGAUAUGCUGGCGGAUGAGGAGGCUAGGAUAAGAUAUAUAUACAAGUGCCCUGAUGAUCGUACUAUUGUGGCAAAAUCGGAUGGUGCAAGAAUGCCUGCAGUUUUGGCCAAGAGAGAGGAUGUUGGUUUGGCCAAAAGAGAUGAUGGCCAGGGAAAAGGGAAAUACAUUGUACCUGCAAGGCGUCAGUUGGUUUGA
RNAcentral lists this ribosomal RNA (366 nucleotides) under Triticum aestivum (bread wheat). RNAcentral's name for it is "partial small subunit ribosomal RNA". The record is from RNAcentral. Lineage: Eukaryota; Viridiplantae; Streptophyta; Magnoliopsida; Poales; Poaceae.